AUGUAAUACAUAUUUUAUCAGCAGAUACUGUUAUUAUUUUGACUGGGCUGCUGGGAGGGGUAAGAAGUAAAUUGUGCACUUCCCUUCGGCCACAGAGAAACAAGAGGCCCAGGGGGUCUUGAAAAAUACUCCAAAUUGCACGUGCUGACCAUGUGAGGAAAAGGUUGUCCUACAGCAAAAAUCACUUCUCACAAAGCUGCAGGCACCACUGGAGAAGCAUUAACAGGACAACUCCUUCUGCCUUAUGUGCUAAGUCUGCUGAGCAUGCACAGAGAACCUGCGGCUUUGUAGAAACAACUGUGUUAACAGCAUAUGUGUGAAACACUUUCCUUGCACAUGGGCAAUAGACUACCUGUUGGAAGCCAAGAGCACAACUGCAAGACAACUGUUCAGUGGAGGAACAUGAAAACUCAUGCAUAGCCUGGAAGCAGAAAAUGCAAUGCACAUGGGCAGAGACAAACUGUUGCACAUGCCCAGGAUGGUUGGCGCUCAGGGCAUAGCAGCUCUACACUUGUCCCUGGGUACCUGAGACUUCUCUGAGAAGGCAGCUCAGUGCUGGCUGCUCUUGCACCUUCUUCCAGGACAGUUCCUGCAAGUGUCCUCAGAUAAAAUGGGACCAGCACCCAAGUAAGCAAUCCUGCCUUAUACAGAAGAGAAUAGAUUACUUUAUUUCUUUUUCCCACUAAUUACUAUAUAAUUGACAUAGGCAGAAAAUAUACAGAAAGUGGAAUGGAAACAAGUUGUAAUUCAUAAGUAAAGUAAACUGUAAGGGAAAUUGUGAUCAAGAACAAAUGUUUGUAACUGCCUUUGCUAGUGUAUAGUAAGAUAUUUGUUCAUAAAUUAGUUCCUGCUAAUGGACAACCAAUUAAUGGACCAAUCUAUAGCUUGUAAAAAUCUCAGCAAUCUAUUCAGCAAUUAACAGAGAUGUAUUGUAUUAAGCUGCUUUGGUUAAGUGGGAUGUCAGCAACAUUUACUCCAAAAUUAUGCAGUACCUGCAUAGAACGUUUCACAUAAUGUUGUGCUAAGAUUGCAUUAAGUCAUUUUAUAUUUUUUUUUCUCUCAUAACUGCAAAUGUAUGUGGUAAAUUAUUUCAAUUCAUUUUUCCCCAUUAACUUUUAUCUUGAGAAAAGUAAAUACAUGAUUGUUUUCUAAUUUUCCAUCCAAAUAAACAAGAGUAGCCAUGAUAUAAAUAACAGGAGCAGUUUAGCAUUUUGGUUAACACUUGGAUCAUUAAAAACGUUUGAAAAGAUAUGUUAAAGCAAUUCCACUUGUAUUUUUUUCUCAAAAAAUUUUUGCCAGUGGUCAUUUAGUAUCUUUUUUCUCUAAUGGAAUGCAGAAAAGGGAAGAUAUUGAGCUUAGCAGAAACUUGCAGAUGAGUAUGUUAUCAUGCAUCCUUAAAACAUAUAAAUUAGCAAAAAGGCAAUUAAACAUCCAAAAUAGAAUUGUAGUCCCUUUCAGAAACAAACUGCAUUUAUUUCUGUUAAAGUUCAUUGUCAAUGAUAUUGAAUUUAAUUGUCAAAACAAUCAAACAGAAAUGCUGUGAUACUGGUACUUAAGUGACGUACUCUACUAUGGGGAAGGGGAGUUGACUGUAGUGCUUUCUAUAAUGCAUAUGAACUUGUACCUCUGCAAUGAACUUUCUGGUUGCUCAGCUGUAUCUCUUGUAUCCACAGUAUUAAAGUGUAUCCUGACCAUUCAUAGAACACUCAAAAUACUUGACAAACAGAAGGAAAAUGUAAUAACAACAUAUUAUUAUUAUAUUUGUCCUGGCAUGUAAAUCUAAUAUUACUAAAGAUUCUCCUUUAUACAGCAUUUUGAAACCUAUAGAUGACCAAUGCUAUCCAAAGAACUGUUUCUUUGCUGGCAGUAUUUUCUCUUAUUUGGAAAUCCCAGCCUUUGUGUGCCAGCUCUGCUGACAAAUAAUGAAGGAAUAUUCACAUCUUUUUCACACUGGGUAUCUAAAAAUAAGGUUUUGAAGAAACUAAAAAAUCUUGCUGCCGAGUUUCUUUGCACAGUGCCUGAUGAAAACAGACAGCUUCAAGAGAUUUUGAAUGAAGUAGGUGACAUGAAUAUCCUGUUUCAAAUAUAUUACAUUUUCCUAGGCCCUGAAAGGGCUCGACUGAAGUCAAGGAGUAGAGAAAUGUGAAUUGAAUUAAGAUAGGAGAGUUAAGGGCUCUUGCUCUUCAAGAGAAGAGCUCAUGCUCUUCAGUAUCUUCAUCAGUGACAUAGACAAUGGCAUUGAGUGCACCCUCAGCAAGUUUGCAGAUGACACCAAGCUGAGCACUUCAGUCGAUACACUGGAAAGAAGGAAAGCCAUACAGAGGGACCUGUAUAGGCUGGAGAAGUGGGCCCAUGAAAACCUAAUGAAAUUCAAUAAGGCCAGGUGCAGAGUGCUGCAUUUGUGUUGGGGCAAUCCCAGGUAUUUAUACAAACAGGGGGAAGAUCUCCUUGAGAGCAGCCCUGCAGAGAAGGACUUGGGGGUCCUGGUGAAUGAGAAGCUGGACAUGAGCCAGAAGUGUGCACUUGCAGCCUGGAAGGCCAACUGUGUUCUGGGCUGUAUUAAAAGAGGAGUGGCCAGCAGGGAGAGGGAGGUGAUUGUCCCCCUCUACUCGGCUCUUGUGAGGCCCCAACUGGAGUACUGCGUCCAGGCCUGGGGCCCCCAGUACAGGAAGGACGUGGAGCUCUUGGAGUGGGUCCAGAGGAGGGCCACUGAGAUGAUCAGGGGGCUGGAGCACCUCUCCUGUGAGGAAAGGUUGAGGGAACUGGGCUUGUUUAGCUUGAAGAAGAGAAGGCUCUUGGUAGACUGUAUUGUGGCCUUCCAAUACUUGAAGGAAGCAUAUAAACAGGAGGAGAAAGGACUGUUUAGAAGGGCAGAUAGUGAUAGGACAGGGGGGAAUGCUUUUAAACUGCAACAGGGGAGGUUUAGGUUAGAUAUUAGGAGGAAGUUUUUCCACACAGAGGGUGGUGACUCACUGGAACAGGUUGCCCAAGGAGGUUGUGGAUGCCCCAUCCCUGGAGGCAUGCAAGGCCAAGCUGGAUGUGGCUCUGGGCAGCCUGGUCUGGUGGUUGGCAACCCUGCACAUAGUGGGGGGGUUGAAACUAGAUGAUCAUUGUAGUCCUUUUCAACCCAGGCCAUUCUAUGAUUCUAAGGGAAAAGAAGUGCAGAAAUAAUGAAGACAAUGGGCUGAGAAUAACAGACCAAAAAAUAAAAUAAAAUAAAACACAGUUUAAAGUAACAAGUUUAAGCUAACAGUUUAACUGUUGUUUUUUUGUUUUUUUUUUUAACUCCUAAUCUGAUGGCUCACUUAUUGCAAGUCUUUUUAAUCUGUUAUUUGAAAUUGAAUAUUUAAAUAAAAAAUAAUUCUCAUGAGAGCUUGAGGUUGCAUCUAGGUAAUUUAGCAGUAAUAAUACAAUCUUCCUCUAAUAAACUGUGAAAUUCUUGACCUCAGAGAUUAACCUGGAUAGCAUUAUUACCUAAUAAAUAGGUGUCAACUGUUUACGGGCUGGUCUGGCCUGGUUCUGUGACUAGUGGGGCAGAGGGAUUUCUUUUCCAAAAUCCGCGCCUCCAGAAAAGGGAAACAGGGGACCCCCCCACAAAAAAAGAAUAGUUAAAAAAAACAGCGGCAACGAUCUGAGGAGAAACAAACUAAUUUACUAAAUACAGUAUCAGAAUGCACAAUAACACACUAUAAUACAAUAUAAUUCAAUAUAAUUGUUAAUAAAAUCAAAUAUAAUUGAGAGAAGGAUUGUCCAAGAGCUGAAGGCCUUACACUAAUACUGAAGCCUUGCGUGCAGUCAGGAGCAGCAGCGAGACGAUCCGAAAGCGAGCACGACGAGAUGAGAAGAAGAGACGACCCAGGUCAGGUGACCUACAGGCCUUAUAUCUGUUCCCCUGAGCAGGAAUGAUAACAGUACUUGAACAGUCUUCUGGGGAACGUAGUUCUUCUUCUCUUCCGGACAAGUACCCGGAACUAGAGCAUUUGCUCUUUAACUCCCAGUACACUGCAUGAUGUUAUGAUGUGGAAUACCGAUAACCAAAAAUCAUAAAACCAUGAAAAUAGGGAAAUUCUACAAGCUAUGGUUAUAUUAUUCACAAGCUUCCACAAUAUACUAAUAACUGGCCUGUUCUACUUUGUAAAAGGAAAAAAAAAAAUGUAACAGCACAAAACUUUGUUAUGUUUACUUCUCUCUGUCAAGUCUUCAAGCAGGAUACAGUAAGUGGAAGUCUAUCAUAUAUGACUUAUCCUGCAAAGCAGAAACUGUCACAUGAAGAUCUCAGUGUAUUGCUGAUGAUAGUGAACUGAGAAACAAGAGGUGGAGAAAAAGGGUCUCCUUCUGCUGGAUGGCCAUGAAAAUCUGCUAGGUGAGGUUUGUCCAAGUUCAGUCUUGUCAGAUUAAAAUUUUGUGGAGGACAAA
Molecule: long non-coding RNA, 4416 nt
Organism: Gallus gallus (chicken)
Lineage: Eukaryota; Metazoa; Chordata; Aves; Galliformes; Phasianidae
Source: Ensembl